RNAcentral lists this RNase P RNA (370 nucleotides) under Acidimicrobiales bacterium. Its description in RNAcentral is "RNase P RNA component class A". It matches the Rfam family "Bacterial RNase P class A". From Rfam's summary of the family: Ribonuclease P (RNase P) is a ubiquitous endoribonuclease, found in archaea, bacteria and eukarya as well as chloroplasts and mitochondria. Its best characterised activity is the generation of mature 5'-ends of tRNAs by cleaving the 5'-leader elements of precursor-tRNAs. Lineage: Bacteria; Bacillati; Actinomycetota; Acidimicrobiia; Acidimicrobiales. The record is from RNAcentral.
UGAGCCGGCCGGGUGGCCGCGGCAUCGCCCCCACGGGGUGGCGCUGAGGAAGGUCGGGGCUCCGCAGGGAAGGAUGCUGGCUCGCAGCCAGUCGGGGCGACCCGCAGGAAAGUGCCACAGAGAACAGACCGCCGAUGGCCCCGACCUCCGUGUCGGGCGCACAGGUGAGGGUGAAACGGUGCGGUAAGAGCGCACCAGCGUCCGGGGCGACCCGGGCGGCUCGGCAAACCCCAUCCGGAGCAAGGCCAAGCGUGGAGAGGGCGUCCCGCCCGUCGACACUCCCGGGUGGGCCGCACAGAUGGAUGGCCACCCAUCCGGAACCCCGCAAGGGACCGGUGGACAGAACCCCGCCUACAGGCCGGCUCACCGU